Molecule: small nucleolar RNA, 146 nt
Filed under: Madurella mycetomatis
Lineage: Eukaryota; Fungi; Ascomycota; Sordariomycetes; Sordariales
Source: RNAcentral
GUUCGGCAUGAUAACUAGGCGACGGCCUAUCUCUGCCCUACGGCCCCAGCCCUUUAAGUUGCCGAUAAAUUAAACACCAAUGCGAGGAUCUUACACGUUUUCGGAGUCUCCCUAUGAUGUCCAAUGUUUACUCUAUCGCAACAAAG